This 394-nucleotide ribosomal RNA is filed under the name uncultured bacterium. RNAcentral's name for it is "bacterial SSU rRNA". It matches the Rfam family "Bacterial small subunit ribosomal RNA", at positions 335 to 715 of the family's 1533-position model. The record is from RNAcentral.
ACUCCUACGGGAGGCAGCAGUGGGGAAUAUUGCACAAUGGGGGAAACCCUGAUGCAGCCAUGCCGCGUGUGUGAAGAAGGCCUUCGGGUUGUAAAGCACUUUCAGUAGGGAGGAAGGUAGUGUAGUUAACACCUGCAUUAUUUGACGUUACCUACAGAAGAAGCACCGGCUAACUCCGUGCCAGCAGCCGCGGUAAUACGGAGGGUGCGAGCGUUAAUCGGAAUUACUGGGCGUAAAGCGCAUGCAGGCGGCCUGUUAAGUCAGAUGUGAAAGCCCGGGGCUUAACCUCGGAAUUGCAUUUGAAACUGGCGAGGCUAGAGUCUUGGUAAGUAGGGGGUUAGGAAUUUCAGGUUGUAGCGGUGAAAUGCGUAGAGAUCUGAAGGAAUACCAGUGG